GACGAACGCUGGCGGCGUGCUUAACACAUGCAAGUCGAACGGAAAGGCCCUGCUUUUGUGGGGUGCUCGAGUGGCGAACGGGUGAGUAACACGUGAGUAACCUGCCCUUGACUUUGGGAUAACUUCAGGAAACUGGGGCUAAUACCGGAUAGGAGCUCCUGCUGCAUGGUGGGGGUUGGAAAGUUUCGGCGGUUGGGGAUGGACUCGCGGCUUAUCAGCUUGUUGGUGGGGUAGUGGCUUACCAAGGCUUUGACGGGUAGCCGGCCUGAGAGGGUGACCGGCCACAGUGGGACUGAGAUACGGCCCAGACUCCUACGGGAGGCAGCAGUGGGGAAUAUUGCACAAUGGGCGGAAGCCUGAUGCAGCAACGCCGCGUGCGGGAUGACGGCCUUCGGGUUGUAAACCGCUUUCGCCUGUGACGAAGCGUGAGUGACGGUAACGGGUAAAGAAGCACCGGCUAACUACGUG
RNAcentral lists this ribosomal RNA (468 nucleotides) under uncultured bacterium. RNAcentral describes it as "partial 16S ribosomal RNA". It matches the Rfam family "Bacterial small subunit ribosomal RNA", at positions 28 to 507 of the family's 1533-position model. The record is from RNAcentral.